Molecule: ribosomal RNA, 606 nt
Filed under: Kluyveromyces marxianus
Lineage: Eukaryota; Fungi; Ascomycota; Saccharomycetes; Saccharomycetales; Saccharomycetaceae
Description: eukaryotic LSU rRNA
Rfam family: Eukaryotic large subunit ribosomal RNA
Source: RNAcentral
GCAUAUCAAUAAGCGGAGGAAAAGAAACCAACCGGGAUUGCCUUAGUAACGGCGAGUGAAGCGGCAAAAGCUCAAAUUUGAAAUCUGGCGUCUUCGACGUCCGAGUUGUAAUUUGAAGAAGGCGACUUUGUAGCUGGUCCUUGUCUAUGUUCCUUGGAACAGGACGUCAUAGAGGGUGAGAAUCCCGUGUGGCGAGGAUCCCAGUUAUUUGUAAAGUGCUUUCGACGAGUCGAGUUGUUUGGGAAUGCAGCUCUAAGUGGGUGGUAAAUUCCAUCUAAAGCUAAAUAUUGGCGAGAGACCGAUAGCGAACAAGUACAGUGAUGGAAAGAUGAAAAGAACUUUGAAAAGAGAGUGAAAAAGUACGUGAAAUUGUUGAAAGGGAAGGGCAUUUGAUCAGACAUGGCGUUUGCUUCGGCUUUCGCUGGGCCAGCAUCAGUUUUAGCGGUUGGAUAAAUCCUCGGGAAUGUGGCUCUGCUUCGGUAGAGUGUUAUAGCCCGUGGGAAUACAGCCAGCUGGGACUGAGGAUUGCGACUUUUGUCAAGGAUGCUGGCGUAAUGGUUAAAUGCCGCCCGUCUGAAAACACGGACCAGACCGAUAGCGAACAAG